CUUCUAUUCCUGAAUAUGCUCUUGAAACUACAGUGGUAGAAGAGUACAUAUGAUAAGUAAUUGGGAUUUGCAAGAUUUUAGCGUAACGAACCAUAAAUAGGAUUCAAGAAAGGGAACCAAUGUUUGAGUUGCUUAAACGCAUUUAGCUUCUCAUUUGCUUCCUCGUAUACAGAAUAAGUAUAUCUCACUCACGUGCUCAAUCAACUCAUCAUGGCCCAUGUUUUUGAGAAAAAAACUUGAAGUUCAAAGUGAGAAAUCAAUUUAAAUUGCUUAAUGCCGGCAAUUUUUCAGACACUCUUUACGUGAAUGGAAUACGGUUCUACAUGGCAGAAACAAACACAUCGAGAAUAUGCUUCAUUUCUUGAGGGACCAGGUGAAUCAAAGACAGCUUGAAGUGAAACACUGCUCAAGUGGAUCUCAAAUUGUGGAUAUUCUCAUAAGGGACUGAAAAUUGAGAGAUUUUUGGCCCUUAGCAAGAAGUUAUGAGUUGUUCAAUUUGAUAAUUAACUUGGUUAAUGUUAAUUGAAGAACAUAUAUUGUA
Molecule: long non-coding RNA, 541 nt
Organism: Lathyrus oleraceus (garden pea)
Lineage: Eukaryota; Viridiplantae; Streptophyta; Magnoliopsida; Fabales; Fabaceae
Exons: 3
Source: RefSeq, a predicted model, not a curated record